CGACUCCCAACAAUAACAAAUGCUAACCAGCGAACACCAAAGAAAAAGGUUAUCAGAACGAAGCCCAACAAAGUAACCAAAUAUCCAGAAUAAACUACCGAUAUGUAUAACCAGUCACCACAAAUGAACCCCAAAGAUGAACCCUAAGUGAAUAACAAUCGUCAUAAAUGAGCCCCGAGAUGAACCCCAAGUGAAUAACA
RNAcentral lists this long non-coding RNA (200 nucleotides) under Lathyrus oleraceus (garden pea). RNAcentral's name for it is "Pisum sativum (pea) long non-coding RNA (PSAT_LNC037847)". Lineage: Eukaryota; Viridiplantae; Streptophyta; Magnoliopsida; Fabales; Fabaceae. The record is from RNAcentral.